RNAcentral lists this ribosomal RNA (484 nucleotides) under uncultured bacterium. RNAcentral describes it as "partial 16S ribosomal RNA". It matches the Rfam family "Bacterial small subunit ribosomal RNA", at positions 28 to 523 of the family's 1533-position model. The record is from RNAcentral.
GACGAACGCUGGCGGCGUGCUUAACACAUGCAAGUCGAACGAUGAAGCUAGAGCUUGCUCUGGUGAAUUAGUGGCGAACGGGUGAGUAACACGUGAGUAACCUGCCCCGAACUCUGGGAUAACUGCUGGAAACGGUAGCUAAUACUGGAUACGACCUACGAAGGCAUCGUCGGUAGGUGGAAAGAAUUGCGGUUCGGGAUGGACUCGCGGCCUAUCAGCUUGUUGGUGAGGUAAUGGCUCACCAAGGCGACGACGGGUAGCCGGCCUGAGAGGGUGACCGGCCACACUGGGACUGAGACACGGCCCAGACUCCUACGGGAGGCAGCAGUGGGGAAUAUUGCACAAUGGGCGCAAGCCUGAUGCAGCAACGCCGCGUGAGGGAUGACGGCCUUCGGGUUGUAAACCUCUUUUAGUAGGGAAGAAGCGAAAGUGACGGUACCUGCAGAAAAAGCACCGGCUAACUACGUGCCAGCCGCCGCGGUAA